AGAGUUUGAUCCUGGCUCAGGACGAACGCUGGCGGCGUGGAUUAGGCAUGCAAGUCGAACGGUAUAAACCUUUCGGGGUUUAGAGAGUGGCGAACGGGUGAGUAACACGUAGGUAAUCUACCCUCAAAACGGGGACAACCCAGGGAAACUUGGGCUAAUACCGGAUGCGUGCAAGCAAUGUUUUGGCUGUUCAUGCUAUUCACGGAAGUGAGUAGAGUUAAUGGUUGAGAGCAUUAUUUGCAUAAAAGGUGGCAUAUGCUGCCGUUUGAGGAUGAGCCUGCGUCCUAUUAGUUAGUUGGUGAGGUAAUGGCUUACCAAGGCGAUGAUAGGUAGGCGGCCUUAACGGGUGGUCGCCCACACUGGGAUUGAGAGACGGCCCAGACUCCUACGGGAGGCAGCAGUCGAGAAUAGUCUACAAUGGACGGAAGUCUGAUAGUGCGACGCCGCGUGAACGAAGAAUCCCUUCGGGGUGUAAAGUUCUUUUAUACGUGAGCAGUGCCCUUUAUAUGAAUAGUAUAGAGGGAGGGAUUUAAGCGUAUGAAUAAGCAACGGCUAACUCCGUGCCAGCAGCCGCGGUAACACGGGGGUUGCAAGCGUUGUCCGGAAUUACUAGGCGUAAAGUGCAGGUGGGCGGAUAGAUAAGUUUAAGGUUAAAGGCUACGGCUUACCCGUAGUAAGGCGUUAGAUACUGUUUAUCUGGAAUGCGGUUGAGGGAGACAGAAUUCCUGGUGUAGCGGUGGAAUGCGCAGAGAUCAGGAGGAAUACCGAAAGCGAAAGCAGUCUUCUAAGCCGAUAUUGACGCUAAACUGCGAAGGUGUGGGGAUCAAACAGGAUUAGAUACCCUGGUAGUCCACGCAGUAAACGAUAAUCACUAGUGUUGGGUUCGUAUAGGACUCGGUGCCGGAGCUAACGCGAUAAGUGAUUCGCCUGGGGAGUACGAUCGCAGGUUGAAACUCAAAUGAAUUGACGG
Molecule: ribosomal RNA, 970 nt
Filed under: bacterium enrichment culture clone B6_166
Lineage: Bacteria
Description: bacterial SSU rRNA
Rfam family: Bacterial small subunit ribosomal RNA
Source: RNAcentral